This 492-nucleotide ribosomal RNA is filed under the name uncultured bacterium. RNAcentral describes it as "partial 16S ribosomal RNA". It matches the Rfam family "Bacterial small subunit ribosomal RNA", at positions 29 to 507 of the family's 1533-position model. The record is from RNAcentral.
AGUGAACGCUGGCGGUAGGCCUAACACAUGCAAGUCGAACGGCAGCACAGUAAGAGCUUGCUCUUACGGGUGGCGAGUGGCGGACGGGUGAGGAAUACAUCGGAAUCUACUUUUUCGUGGGGGAUAACGUAGGGAAACUUACGCUAAUACCGCAUACGACCUACGGGUGAAAGCAGGAGAUCUUCGGACCUUUCGCGAUUGAUUGAGCCGAUGUCGGAUUAGCUAGUUGGCGGGGUAAAGGCCCACCAAGGCGACGAUCCGUAGCUGGUCUGAGAGGAUGAUCAGCCACACUGGAACUGAGACACGGUCCAGACUCCUACGGGAGGCAGCAGUGGGGAAUAUUGGACAAUGGGCGCAAGCCUGAUCCAGCCAUACCGCGUGGGUGAAGAAGGCCUUCGGGUUGUAAAGCCCUUUUGUCGGGAAAGAAAAGCAGCAGGUUAAUACCCCGCUGUUCUGACGGUACCCAAAGAAUAAGCACCGGCUAACUUCGUG